UACGUAGGGGGCAAGCGUUGUCCGGAAUCAUUGGGCGUAAAGAGCGUGUAGGCGGCUUGGUAAGUCCGCUGUGAAAGUCCAGGGCUCAACCCUGGAAUGCCGGUGGAAACUGUCAAGCUUGAGUCCGGAAGAGGCGAGUGGAAUUCCUGGUGUAGCGGUGAAAUGCGCAGAUAUCAGGAGGAACACCCGUGGCGAAGGCGGCACUCUGGGACGGUACUGACGCUGAGACGCGAAAGCGUGGGGAGCGAACAGG
This 253-nucleotide ribosomal RNA is filed under the name uncultured bacterium. RNAcentral's name for it is "partial 16S ribosomal RNA". It matches the Rfam family "Bacterial small subunit ribosomal RNA", at positions 524 to 776 of the family's 1533-position model. The record is from RNAcentral.